CCCGCUUAUUUUAAGCCCAAUUAUACGCCCGUACCUGUCUGCUCGGUUUUAGGUUGGGGUGACCACGGAGUAUAAAGUAACCUCCAUGAAGAAAGGGGUAAGUACCCUUAUUAGAGAAAGACACUUCCAAAAACUAACAAAUUAAUUUUUAAUGAUCCGAUAUUCGAUCAACGAACCAAGUUACCCUGGGGAUAACAGCGCAAUCCACCUCGAGAGCUCCUAUCGACAGGUGGGUUUACGACCUCG
This 246-nucleotide ribosomal RNA is filed under the name Boophis obscurus. Its description in RNAcentral is "partial 16S ribosomal RNA". It matches the Rfam family "Bacterial large subunit ribosomal RNA", at positions 2203 to 2528 of the family's 2925-position model. Lineage: Eukaryota; Metazoa; Chordata; Amphibia; Anura; Mantellidae. The record is from RNAcentral.